Molecule: ribosomal RNA, 534 nt
Filed under: Bacillus sp. CO27
Lineage: Bacteria; Bacillati; Bacillota; Bacilli; Caryophanales; Bacillaceae
Description: bacterial SSU rRNA
Rfam family: Bacterial small subunit ribosomal RNA
Source: RNAcentral
GCAUGGACGAAAGUCUGACGGAGCAACGCCGCGUGAGUGAUGAAGGUUUUCGGAUCGUAAAGCUCUGUUGUUAGGGAAGAACAAGUACCGUUCGAAUAGGGCGGUACCUUGACGGUACCUAACCAGAAAGCCACGGCUAACUACGUGCCAGCAGCCGCGGUAAUACGUAGGUGGCAAGCGUUGUCCGGAAUUAUUGGGCGUAAAGGGCUCGCAGGCGGUUCCUUAAGUCUGAUGUGAAAGCCCCCGGCUCAACCGGGGAGGGUCAUUGGAAACUGGGGAACUUGAGUGCAGAAGAGGAGAGUGGAAUUCCACGUGUAGCGGUGAAAUGCGUAGAGAUGUGGAGGAACACCAGUGGCGAAGGCGACUCUCUGGUCUGUAACUGACGCUGAGGAGCGAAAGCGUGGGGAGCGAACAGGAUUAGAUACCCUGGUAGUCCACGCCGUAAACGAUGAGUGCUAAGUGUUAGGGGGUUUCCGCCCCUUAGUGCUGCAGCUAACGCAUUAAGCACUCCGCCUGGGGAGUACGGUCGCAAGA